Molecule: ribosomal RNA, 467 nt
Filed under: uncultured bacterium
Lineage: Bacteria
Description: partial 16S ribosomal RNA
Rfam family: Bacterial small subunit ribosomal RNA
Source: RNAcentral
AUGCACGCUGGCGGCGUGCUUAACCCCUGCACGUCGAACGGAAAGGCCAGUGCUUGCACUGGUACUCGAGUGGCGAACGGGUGAGUAACACGUGGGUGAUCUGCCCUGCACUUCGGGAUAAGCCUGUGAAACUGGGUCUAAUACCGGAUAGGACAAUGGUUUGGAUGCCGUUGUGGAAAGUUUUUUCGGUGUGGGAUGAGCUCGCGGCCUAUCAGCUUGUUGGUGGGGUAAUGGCCUACCAAGGCGUCGACGGGUAGCCGGCCUGAGAGGGUGUACGGCCACAUUGGGACUGAGAUACGGCCCAGACUCCUACGGGAGGCAGCAGUGGGGAAUAUUGCACAAUGGGCGCAAGCCUGAUGCAGCGACGCCGCGUGGGGGAUGACGGCCUUCGGGUUGUAAACUCCUUUCGCUAGGGACGAAGCGUAUUUGUGACGGUACCUGGAGAAGAAGCACCGGCUAACUACGUG